This 257-nucleotide unclassified non-coding RNA is filed under the name Hevea brasiliensis (rubber tree). Lineage: Eukaryota; Viridiplantae; Streptophyta; Magnoliopsida; Malpighiales; Euphorbiaceae. The record is from RNAcentral.
GGGGUUAACAAGCACAACCAGUGGAAUGAAAAGAAUAGUACACAACAUAACACUUAAUGUUUGUUAAGGAAUAAUGUUUACCUUGUACCUUAACCUUUUUUCCCUGUAAUUAAUUAGUCAUCAUAGAAUAAAUAACUUCAUUUUCUUUUUGUGCGCUAACUCACCAAAAUAUCAAUUGAGUGAAGUCCUUCAAACAAUUUUAUAAGUGAACUGAACAAACUGGAUAGACCAUAAUCUGCGCUGUCCUUUGAAUACAG